Molecule: ribosomal RNA, 372 nt
Filed under: uncultured organism
Description: bacterial SSU rRNA
Rfam family: Bacterial small subunit ribosomal RNA
Source: RNAcentral
CAGAGGGGGCAAGCGUUGUUCGGAAUUACUGGGCGUAAAGGGCGCGUAGGCGGCCUGUUAAGUCGAACGUGAAAUCCCCGGGCUCAACCCGGGAACUGCGUCCGAAACUGGCAGGCUUGAAUCCGGGAGAGGGAUGUGGAAUUCCAGGUGUAGCGGUGAAAUGCGUAGAUAUCUGGAGGAACAUCGGUGGCGAAGGCGACAUCCUGGACCGGUAUUGACGCUGAGGCGCGAAAGCCAGGGGAGCAAACGGGAUUAGAUACCCCGGUAGUCCUGGCCCUAAACGAUGAAUGCUUGGUGUGGCGGGCAUCGAUCCCUGCCGUGCCGAAGCUAACGCAUUAAGCAUUCCGCCUGGGGAGUACGGUCGCAAGGCUG